ACAGGACCUUAGCACCAAGACCAUAAUCCUGCAGAUUGACAACAAAUCACAUCCGGCACCUGCAAGUGCGCUCUGGCAAUAGAUGCAGCUAUCACGGGGCGUCCAGCGGAUCCACGAGAAGCCAAACUGAUGAGAUUUACCUCAAGCUGCGGAUGAGUAUAGGUUUGUCGCUGGAUUGCACUUUUUGUCCUCCUGUCUGGGCACUAUUGCUAAUUUAGUAAAGCAGCAUAGUUGAGUUGGGCACUCCUGAGUAUAUUAGGUAUUUUAGUAAUGUAAGCAUCUUAUCUGAUUGUUGUCAUUUAUGAAUCUUAUCCAAUGAUGUACUCGUGCCACAGUUCAUUGGCGGCUUACUACUCAGUGGCCACAGUUCUGAACUUGGUUCAUGCUCAUUAUCAGAAUGCAAUUUUCUAUUAAGAGUACAUUGUUCUAGCACGAUGCUGAUUACAUACAUUAAUCAUGUUCAACACCAUGACCUACUACCGUUUUCUGAUAGUUACACAUGCACAGUUAGCACUUAGCACGACAGAUUCCAACAGAUUGAAACAGGAAAUGCGUUUUUACAUUGGAUCUUUGCUAUUAUGUACUGUUAGAAAAAAUUAUGUGUUCAUUGGUUUGUUUCAAUGCUAUGAAGUGCUUAAUCUUAUUUUCAUAAUUUCCUCACUGCAGAUUUGUGGGUGGUUCAGAGCUUUGAUAUUUGGUGUUAUUUUACGUGGGCGAUUUGCAUGAUGAUAGAUGCAUCAAACAUCAUGAUGUGCUGCUGCUAUAUAUGUUAUUUUCCUUCGGAUCUUCAUAGUUUACACUUUACAUAGAACACAUACAUCUGCAAGUUAUAAUUUUCCUCAUCAUAUUAUUUUUCUGAGAUUAGGCCCAUGGAAAAUGCACUUUGCAAAACAUAUGCACAUUAUUCUCCACUGAUGUGACGAUUCUGAUAUAUGUUCUCCAGGGCAAGACUAGCGGUUCUAAAGGUCUAGAGCUAGAUAAUUUGCUGCUAAUGAUCUCCAGGCGUUUGUCUAGGCCUCAUGCUUGUAGUUGUGACUCGGCGCGCUCAUUGGAUGGCCAGGUGCGGUGGACAAAGGCUGUGCAACAAAUGCUUUGUUGGCUGGCUCUGGACCUUCGAUGACGCCUCCACCGACAUCCAAGCCCUCCUUCCAGUUGUCAACUCCAAUAAUAAGUUUACAUAAUUAGUGCACUGGAAUCUAUGUUCCUGGUUUACCGUUUCUACAUUUGAAAUUUUCAUUGCUGUAUUGGGUUGCCAAUUGCAUUAUGAAUCGUGUUCAAGCUAUCUGUUGGAACUUGGCAGUAAUAUUAUUGUGACCUAUGAUUUUAAUAGAAUCAAGGAAAUGAGAACCUGUGCAUGCAUGGUACACCUAUCAUGUUUUUUCAGCUA
Long non-coding RNA from Brachypodium distachyon (stiff brome), 1387 nucleotides. RefSeq lists it as uncharacterized. The transcript has 2 exons. NCBI's taxonomy places the organism in Eukaryota, Viridiplantae, Streptophyta, Magnoliopsida, Poales, Poaceae. The record is from RefSeq and is a predicted model, not a curated record.